RNAcentral lists this ribosomal RNA (1101 nucleotides) under Staphylococcus aureus. Its description in RNAcentral is "bacterial SSU rRNA". It matches the Rfam family "Bacterial small subunit ribosomal RNA", at positions 138 to 1225 of the family's 1533-position model. Lineage: Bacteria; Bacillati; Bacillota; Bacilli; Caryophanales; Staphylococcaceae. The record is from RNAcentral.
CUGGGAUAACUUCGGGAAACCGGAGCUAAUACCGGAUAAUAUUUUGAACCGCAUGGUUCAAAAGUGAAAGACGGUCUUGCUGUCACUUAUAGAUGGAUCCGCGCUGCAUUAGCUAGUUGGUAAGGUAACGGCUUACCAAGGCAACGAUGCAUAGCCGACCUGAGAGGGUGAUCGGCCACACUGGAACUGAGACACGGUCCAGACUCCUACGGGAGGCAGCAGUAGGGAAUCUUCCGCAAUGGGCGAAAGCCUGACGGAGCAACGCCGCGUGAGUGAUGAAGGUCUUCGGAUCGUAAAACUCUGUUAUUAGGGAAGAACAUAUGUGUAAGUAACUGUGCACAUCUUGACGGUACCUAAUCAGAAAGCCACGGCUAACUACGUGCCAGCAGCCGCGGUAAUACGUAGGUGGCAAGCGUUAUCCGGAAUUAUUGGGCGUAAAGCGCGCGUAGGCGGUUUUUUAAGUCUGAUGUGAAAGCCCACGGCUCAACCGUGGAGGGUCAUUGGAAACUGGAAAACUUGAGUGCAGAAGAGGAAAGUGGAAUUCCAUGUGUAGCGGUGAAAUGCGCAGAGAUAUGGAGGAACACCAGUGGCGAAGGCGACUUUCUGGUCUGUAACUGACGCUGAUGUGCGAAAGCGUGGGGAUCAAACAGGAUUAGAUACCCUGGUAGUCCACGCCGUAAACGAUGAGUGCUAAGUGUUAGGGGGUUUCCGCCCCUUAGUGCUGCAGCUAACGCAUUAAGCACUCCGCCUGGGGAGUACGACCGCAAGGUUGAAACUCAAAGGAAUUGACGGGGACCCGCACAAGCGGUGGAGCAUGUGGUUUAAUUCGAAGCAACGCGAAGAACCUUACCAAAUCUUGACAUCCUUUGACAACUCUAGAGAUAGAGCCUUCCCCUUCGGGGGACAAAGUGACAGGUGGUGCAUGGUUGUCGUCAGCUCGUGUCGUGAGAUGUUGGGUUAAGUCCCGCAACGAGCGCAACCCUUAAGCUUAGUUGCCAUCAUUAAGUUGGGCACUCUAAGUUGACUGCCGGUGACAAACCGGAGGAAGGUGGGGAUGACGUCAAAUCAUCAUGCCCCUUAUGAUUUGGGCUACACACGUGC